GACGAACGCUGGCGGCGUGCUUAACACAUGCAAGUCGAACGGAAAGGCCCUGCUUUUGUGGGGUGCUCGUUUGGCGCACGGGUGAGUAACACGCGAGUAACCUGCCCUUGUCUUUGUGAUAACUUCAGGAAACUCGGGCUCAUACCGCAUAGGAGCUCCUGCUGCAUGUUGGGGGUUGGAAAGUUUCGGCGGUUGGGGAUGGUCUCGCGGCUUAUCAGCUUGUUGGUGGGGUAGUGGCUUACCAAGGCUGUGACGGGUAGCCGGCCUGACAGGGUGACCGGCCGCACUGGAAGUGAGACAGGCUCCAGAGGCCUACGGGAGGGACCAGAAGGCAAUCGGCGGCAAUGGGCGGGAGUUUGACGGAACAGGGCGGAGUGAGUGAUGAAGACCUCCGGGUCGGGAAACCCGGCUUUUGGGGUGGAACCAAUUUGCAAGUGACUAAACCCGUCUUGACGGUAACUGGUAAAGAAGCACCGGCUAACUACGUG
This 488-nucleotide ribosomal RNA is filed under the name uncultured bacterium. RNAcentral describes it as "partial 16S ribosomal RNA". It matches the Rfam family "Bacterial small subunit ribosomal RNA", at positions 28 to 507 of the family's 1533-position model. The record is from RNAcentral.